RNAcentral lists this ribosomal RNA (376 nucleotides) under Alaus oculatus (big-eyed click beetle). RNAcentral's name for it is "partial 16S ribosomal RNA". Lineage: Eukaryota; Metazoa; Arthropoda; Insecta; Coleoptera; Elateridae. The record is from RNAcentral.
UUAUCAAAAACAUGUCCUUUUGAAUAUUAUUUAAGGUCUGAUCUGCUCAAUGAGGUAUUAAAUUGCCGCGGUAUUGUGACCGUGCGAAGGUAGCAUAAUAAUUAGCUUUUUUAUUGAAAGCUGGAAUGAAUGAUUGGACGAGAAAAUAUCUGUCUCUACUAAAUUUUUUUUUGAAUUUAACUUUUAAGUUAAAAGGCUUAGAUUUUUUAAAAAGACGAGAAGACCCUAUAGAGUUUAAUAUUUAAUUUAUUAAGAGGUUAUUGGAAUUUAAUUCUUUUAUUAGUUUAUUUAUUUGGUUGGGGUGACUAGAAGAAAUAACAAACUCUUCUAUUUUUUUGUUACUGAUUUGUAAAUAAUUAUUCUGGAUUUUUCAAGU